Molecule: ribosomal RNA, 497 nt
Filed under: uncultured bacterium
Lineage: Bacteria
Description: partial 16S ribosomal RNA
Rfam family: Bacterial small subunit ribosomal RNA
Source: RNAcentral
GAUGAACGCUGGCGGCGUGCCUAAUACAUGCAAGUCGAGCGAACGGACGAGAAGCUUGCUUCUCUGAUGUUAGCGGCGGACGGGUGAGUAACACGUGGAUAACCUACCUAUAAGACUGGGAUAACUUCGGGAAACCGGAGCUAAUACCGGAUGAUAUUUUGAACCGCAUGGUUCAAAAGUGAAAGACGGUCUUGCUGUCACUUAUAGAUGGAUCCGCGCUGCAUUAGCUAGUUGGUAAGGUAACGGCUUACCAAGGCAACGAUGCGUAGCCGACCUGAGAGGAUGAUCGGCCACACUGGAACUGAGACACGGUCCAGACUCCUACGGGAGGCAGCAGUAGGGAAUCUUCCGCAAUGGGCGAAAGCCUGACGGAGCAACGCCGCGUGAGUGAUGAAGGUCUUCGGAUCGUAAAACUCUGUUAGUAGGGAAGAACAUAUGUGUAAGUAACUGUGCACAUCUUGACGGUACCUAAUCAGAAAGCCACGGCUAACUACGUG